GAUGAACGCUGGCGGCGUGCCUAAUACAUGCAAGUCGAGCGAACAGACGAGGAGCUUGCUCCUCUGACGUUAGCGGCGGACGGGUGAGUAACACGUGGAUAACCUACCUAUAAGACUGGGAUAACUUCGGGAAACCGGAGCUAAUACCGGAUAAUAUAUUGAACCGCAUGGUUCAAUAGUGAAAGACGGUUUUGCUGUCACUUAUAGAUGGAUCCGCGCCGCAUUAGCUAGUUGGUAAGGUAACGGCUUACCAAGGCAGCGAUGCGUAGCCGACCUGAGAGGGUGAUCGGCCACACUAGAACUGAGACACGGUCCAGACUCCUACGGGAGGCAGCAGUAGGGAAUCUUCCGCAAUGGGCGGAAGCCUGACGGAGCAACGCCGCGUGAGUGAUGAAGGUCUUCGGAUCGUAAAGCUCUGUUAUUAGGGAAGAACAAAUGUGUAAGUAACUAUGCACGUCUUGACGGUACCUGAUCAGAAAGCCACGGCUAACUACGUG
RNAcentral lists this ribosomal RNA (497 nucleotides) under uncultured bacterium. RNAcentral's name for it is "partial 16S ribosomal RNA". It matches the Rfam family "Bacterial small subunit ribosomal RNA", at positions 28 to 507 of the family's 1533-position model. The record is from RNAcentral.